UCACGCUCUCGCUUCCUUUCCGGACGCAGCAGAAAGGAGAAGGUGAGGUGCGGACGGCGGAGCAGCAGAAGUUCAGGGGCGGCGCGGCGGAGAGAAGUUGAGUGGCCGAGACCUUGCCGCCGGACGGCUACAGCCGUCUCCUGCUUCCUUUCCAGCCGCGGCGGAGCAGGAGAGGUUCAGGCGCGGCGCGGCAGGCGGAGCAAGAGAGGUUCAGGCGCGGCGCGGCGGAGCAGGAGAGGUUCAGGGGCGGUGCCGACGGAGCAGCAGAGGUUCAGGGGCGGUGCCCUUGUCGACGGACGGCUACAGCCGUGGCGGAGCACAAGGCGGGAGAGGUUCAGGGGCGGGUCGGCACUGGCCUGGCCGGGAACGCGGGCUGCCUGGAGGUGCUCAUCGCCUCGCCGUGGUCCUGAAGCCCCUCAAGCAUCUCCUGCCCGCGUGGCCGCCAUAGCACUGUUGUUGGAUGGGUGUGGCUUUUGCUGAAUUUUCGUCACCCUGAGCUUCUGGCGAGUUUGCUCCCCUGAGCCAUAACAGAGGGAGUGAGAAGGGAGAAGAGGAAAAAAGACCUUGCUGAUCGAGACGAUAUUGACACCAUUUUUUGUGUGUUGGAGCGAUUUGAACCAUGGCAACCAGAGCGAUUUGUUAGGAGAUCCUUCACUAUGCUGAUGAAAGAGUUGCACCAAUUCCAAAGCUGAUAAGCAAAAGGAUGACAUAUUUUUUGCAAUUUUGAGAUGGUGCACUGAAAGGGCCAUCAAUAAAAAUCUAGCAAAUCUAAAUGAAGACAGCCAAGUCACUUAGGUUAGUGAGGAGGUGCAACAGCAUGAGUUCGGAUUUUCUCCACUUGCAUAUAUUUUUCUAUUGAUUUAUUGUAUCAAAAUUGUCAAGUAGUCAAUUAGUGAUGGCGCAUGUUUUCUGAUUCUUGCAUAUUUGAGAGAGGCAAACUGCACGUGGGAUUGAUGAUCAGGCAUUAAUUCAAUGCCAGCCUCAUUGCCAUUAGUUUUGGGUAGAAUUUUUAUUAGCUGAACAUUCCUUCUGAUUAGGACCUGAUGAUGAUCCAAGACGGUGUAACAAGAUAAUGUAGUACGAGAGUAUUUCACAAAUCACAAUCUCUGAAGAAGACUAUGCACUACUACACAGAAUUAUAUAGACUGGCACUUGAUCUAUACAGUACUGAAUAAUUCAUUCAGUUCAAGCUAUGUAUCUACGGAACAAGAAUUAUCUCGUAACAAAAAAUAGUUGGUACAAAGUUGUCAUCUUGGUUAUUAUUACCCUUAAUGGCAUUAACGAUGUUAGUAGCUACAGCCUACAUAUGUGUGCCAUAAGAGAGUGUAAGCCUCGUGGUGCGUUGAUACUGUAGCUGCCACUCCAAAAGGUUCCAUUGACCUUAUACAUCACUUCCAUCUGUUUGAUUCAUUUUGGUUCAUGACAACUGGCCUCUAAAGCUUGUGUCAUGUAGUCCAUCAACUAAAUGUGCUGUAUUAGGAUGUCUAAUUCUUAAGUGUAACCAGGGAUCAGUUUUAUUUGAUUUGAAUUAACAAGAUGGCUUGUACAUUAUUUAUAAUGAUUAUAGAUAUUAUGAUCUCAGUCGCUUGAUUUGAAGGCCGCAAAUUUAUUAUCCCGUUGCAACGCACGGGCCAUUUUGCUACUGUUUGCCGACGAGAAUAUGCCAGUCGCAAGUUACAUGUUUCUGCCGUCGGCUGGUGAUUCUUUUGCUACUUCAGGGGCCACCAGCGGCACCUGCUGCGAACUAUUGCAUUGCUGGUUUGUGUCUCUGGGACUGUUUCGCAAAUCAUGUCAAUGAGACUAGCAAUUUGAAGAGACAUGGUCUGAAGAUAUUUGCAUAUACAGUACUGUAGAUUCUCCCACUGAACAUAUCAAAAUAGCAGGUUCCCUGAUCUUAUAAAUAAACAAUAUUAGUUAAUUGUUGAUAAUGUACUAAUAACCUCAUUUGCAUGUGCCUAACGCCCUAAUCUUUGAUCCAGCAGCAUUUUGGUAAGCAUAUCUUUGGCCCAAGUAAAAAAGAAGAGUUGAGCUUUCACUCUCUCUGGUUGGCUGAAGGUAUCUGGAGUUUAGCCCUGCUGCAGGGUAAGGAAAGCCAUGACCUCCAAACAGACUGUGCAUAUGAACCAAGGAUAACAGAAACAAGCUAUGCUUGCAACUCAGUUUUCAGGUAUCUUCCCCAACGAAUAUUGCCCUGGUACUGACAGGUUGUCAGUACAUAUCUUGGUGUGGACUUCACCAGCCGUUCAACUUUUCACUCCAUUAUAUAUUCAGAGACCACUUAUUACUCACCCCAGCCAAUAUAUGGUUCACUGGAUCAUUGAUAGUCACGAUUGACAAAGAUCAAACAUUUUGUGGAGAACUAGGGAAGAGAGAAAUGUUGCACUGUAGUUUGAUUGACACAGGUUCGCACAUAUACAAGUUCGCUUAUAGCUUUGAUACUACUCAAAUAUCCUCCAGAUUUCUGUGCAAAUUCAUGAAUGAUUUGCUUUCAUUUAUUUCUGUCGGGUUGAAUGUGAGGAACUUGAUUUAUUGAUAAUUUGAUGUAUGUGUGUUUACAUUGCAAUGAAGGCCAUGAUAGGCAUGUCAUAUGUUCAGGUAUGCGUAAUGAAAACUAUUUUUGUAGCAAGUUUCUAUGGAUGAUUACGAGCAAUCUUAUUCAAAAUCAAAUGUUCUCAUGUAUCAUUUUUGUUGUUAUGCAUGUAUAUUGCAGAGUAUGGCGGCCCCUAUUUUUAAGAAUUCAUACCUGAGAGCAGAUGUGUUAGUUACUACUGUAGUAUUUAAAUUCUUCAAAUUUAAAGGUGGAUAUCUAGCGGAAGGACGAGACAUUGCCGGUGGAGAGUAUUGUCAGGCCAAAGACCCAUAUAUCGUGGCAUUAGUUGUCGAUUAGGAAGUUUAGUAUGCAGGUGGAGAUGACAUGAUUUUUUUUCUUCUUUAUAUUGAAAUCGUCUAGCGGCAUUUUACAUGUUAACCAUGUUUUUUUGCUGAAUCUGUUCAAAUCUUCGAUCAGAAUUUUGUGGAAAGAAAAGGUGAACCAUUAUUCCAUCUAUAUAGGAUUGUAGAAUGUUGUUCAGUUAAUAAUAUUUCAUUGUUGU
Molecule: long non-coding RNA, 3092 nt
Organism: Triticum dicoccoides
Lineage: Eukaryota; Viridiplantae; Streptophyta; Magnoliopsida; Poales; Poaceae
Exons: 4
Source: RefSeq, a predicted model, not a curated record